This 3666-nucleotide long non-coding RNA is filed under the name Musa acuminata (dwarf banana). RNAcentral's name for it is "long non-coding RNA (MACU_LNC000849)". Lineage: Eukaryota; Viridiplantae; Streptophyta; Magnoliopsida; Zingiberales; Musaceae. The record is from RNAcentral.
AACGCUAUACCGCUCUCUCCCUCCAAACGGAUUGGCGCGUGUAGAUCGCCCUCCUCUCGAUCUGCUCCGGCAGCCCCCUGCCUGCGCCCUUCCCCGGUACAUCCAUAGACCUAAAAGCCCCCCAUUCUUUUUCCCUCUACCUUCCCUGUUCUAUUGAUCCCGGAGGUGCGUCCAUCCCUUCAUAGAUUUCUGAGAGAAAUGAGACGACCGCAGUCCUUCCUUUCGCUCCACAGGUUGGUUACCUCUCCUCGUGUGGGUUUGUUAGGAUCGCUGGUUGGCCAUCCCACUGUUAGGUAUGCGAAGUUCUUCCAAAAUAUGAAACCUUUUCUUCUCUGUUCGUUGAUUGUAUGGCAAAUAUUUCUCUUUUUCUUUUAGAAUUCGAGUAUUGGUCGAUAUAACGAAAUUGGUAUUGAUAUUUGAUAGGAGAAAUUGUGAAAGAUGGCUUGUGCAAGACACAGGGCGUCGUUCAGGGGGGAUCACUGUCUAAGAUGAUGUAGGUUUCCUCUAUUCCCAGUUGAUCUUUGCGAAGUGAAUGGUUAGGCGACCUAUUCUGAAGGAAAGAGAAAAAAAAUACUAUCAUGUUGUGUAUAAACUGUGUUUUACUAAAAUCAAUCAAAUACCUUCAUCUCUGAAAUUUAUGAUGUUUAAUGAGGCAGACAACCCUUUUUUUUUUCCUGAUUGGGAUGCAUACGUAUGCAGAGUUUCUUCUGACUCUGUUUUGAAUGUUAAAGGACUCAAAAAGGAGAACUUUACAUGAUUCAUCAAUGCCUCUUCCAUCUUGCUACAAUUUGUUUGCCUACUAAAGUUUUUCCACAUUUAUCUACUAAUACAGAAAUGAACUUUGGUUCUUCCUAGAUGUCUCCUACGUAUUUUGAGAUGACACCUAAAUUAUGCAUUUUUUCUUCGGUGUUCAUUUUCAUAGGGUGUGUUAACGAACAAAUAUAUCGAUGAGUCAGCACAGUUAGAUCCGCGGGUCGAUGUCAGAAGCUUUCUGUAGAGUGAGCUAGAUGAUGAGAUAGCCGCACCCUCAGAAAGGAGUGAUGGUUGACGUUGGUCUGGAUCUGGGCCGAUUGACAGCUCUCCGUUGCGCGGUGAAUGGCGUUGCUUGGGUUGAGACGCUUGUCGCUCGCAGGUGAUCGUUCGCUUGUAAAAAAUGGCUCUCGUCGGGUGAUCCUCGGCUUUGACCCCUCCGAUGAGCAAGUCAGUGUGGGUGGAUUAUUUUUUUUUUUAUGUCUCUCUCCCCUCGGUCAGAUGCCGGCUAAAGGUCUUUAUAUUACUGUACGUGGGUCGGUCGUACGCGGGUUGACGUGGUGGACGUGCUAAAUAGUGUCUUGGUAUGGAUUAUGACAGCGUAUCUUGGGGGUGACGCUGUCUCGGGAUUCCCGAAACGUGACGUACCAAGCAGCGUCUUAGUACGGUUUCUGAUUUAGCGUUUCUUGGGGGUGACGUCGUCCCGGGAUUUCCGGGACGAGAUGUGCCGAGCAACGCCUUAAUACAGAUUCUGACUUGGAGUGUGACAUUGGUUGUAAUAUGUCUUGGACCUAAAAUAUAAUCAGGAUGCUUACCGAAUUGUCUUUUAAGUUGGCUUUUUGCAAGGGCCACUAACAUGUCAUUUCUUUGUUGAAACUCUAUUCUUGGCUGCUUCAAGGUGAUAUUGCAAUCCCCAAAAAGAAUACUCUGUUGGUCAUCCGGAAAAUUCAAGUUAAUAGUAUGUUAAAUAUUGGUCUAAGUGUUAGAUAUCUGGUUAACCUGUGGGGGUCCUGAUGCAAAGUUGUCAAUCUCUUAUGGUCCCAAGCAUGUGACUGAGCUCCUUAAAACUCCUUUCUUAAUCUGGUGUGAUGGAUUCACUUAUCUAAUUCAAUUAUCUCUUUAUCAUAGUGUUCUUAAAGACUGUCCCAUAUGAGUAAUAUGCAUCAGAAAGCUUCAGGUAUCAUAGUUAAAAAACUGUUUGACGUGGAUUAGGUCCAUUAAUGAUGAUCAUUGGCAGUUUGUGCUCAAGAAUGUUACAUUGUUGGAUUUCUCUCUCUUUGUUGUUAUCUGGCACUACCCAACAACAUAUCAUAAUUGGAACAUUUGUUUGGAAGUUUGACCUGUUGAUCAUCCUUGUCCUGUAACACAAACGUUCAAGUAUUCAAGAACUGUAGCAUUGCCUUUUUCGAUGAUUUCAUUUGUAGUUGUGUUGCUUGUCAUUAAUAACUUAUAAUGUGUGUUUUCCCUUGAAUGUUCACAUAGGUACUAUUAAUAAGAGUAAAAUGCAUGGGAAUGAUAAUGAUUUUUAUUGUGAUGCAAACAGCCUUAAGGAUAACCCUUUUUUCACUAUGUAAGAUUUGCACAUAUGCUUUUUCUGCAGAUUUUGGUAAACAUCGUCUUUUUCUUGCAUAGUAAAGAUUGUAAUUUAAUAGUACAUGGUAAUCUAUCCCUUUCAGGUCAUCACACACACAGAGAGAGAGAGAGAGAGAGAGAGAGAGAGAGCAUCAAGAUCAGUGUGGACAAGGUGGAAAUUGCAAGAUUAGUCUUUGCCAUAUACAAAGCACAAUUAAAGGCUUUUCUUGAAUAAUGUGCUAUUAAUGAUGGACAAAAUGUCAGGAUCAGCAACACAAUUCUUGGCCAUUUUGGUAAAAGCUUGCAGUAAGGUAAGAAAAUCUCAUCUCAAACUCCUUCAGGUUUACCUGUCAAAUGAGGUGGCUAUCCACCCACAAUUAUCCACCUCACCACAUGUAUUUUGCAAAACAAGUGUGACCCAAACAAAACAAAUCAAUAUGUUGGAAAGUAUAAUUUGUGGACUCAGCUAUAUCAAUAGAAAAAGAGAUUUGGAAAUACAACAACAAGCAUCUUUAUCAUUCUAUCAAUUAUCAAUUCUCACUUUUGUCUCAUGGAAGAGGAAAUGUGAAACUUCUGUGGAAGCUCCACAAGCUAGCUUAAUCCUUCAUGAUUGAUAUCAAUACAAGUAAUGCAGUUAGUAUUACUACAUUUUAGGUCAUAUGAAAGAAAACUAAUACAGCUCACCAUAAUCUUAGCAAAUUUGAGACAUACAAAAGCAUCUGUUAGUCCACAUACCCAACAGGAAACUGAGCUCAUUAAGGAACACUAGUGACCAACUUUUGCUUCAAUCAAAAGCUUUCUCAAAACAAAGAACAAAGCAACACUUGCAGAUAUGACACAGAGCUUAUAAGAAUAAGAGAAGAGAAACUUCGAAAUUUGCUUGUUUUGUCUUCCUAUCAAAGUGAGGAGACUUUCACAAAAUAGCAAAUAUAAUUUUGUGCCCACCCAAUUACAAACAUCAUUUGAUAGAGAAGCUCGGUUCAUACCUUUGUGAUACAUACUGCAAAAGCAAACUCUACAUCAAACAAAAAUAUUGAUUCCUAGAAAAAGAUGAAUGAACGAAUUCACGUGAAACACAGCAAACUGAGCACCACAAAUUGUCAAUUAUUUUAGGUCAAAAGUUUCGAUGAUGCAUAAGAAAUACAGAAAAGGAUUAAAUUCCCAUAUUGUGCUUUUAAUUAUCUGCAUCUCCUAAACAAACCUUCACAGCUGCUCAUGAUAGUUCGUGUUUGUUGAGCAACACAGGAGGCUGCCGGUUUCACUUCAAUCUGGAGAAAAUCUGGAGGAAUCAAACAUCAGUGCUAUGUCUCCGAAGUCUCUGCAAUGGUGGACAAUCUAUCAUUC